GGAAUCUUGCGCAAUGGGCGAAAGCCUGACGCAGCGACGCCGCGUGGGGGAGGAAGCUUUUCGGAGUGUAAACCUCUGUCAGGGGGGAAGAAUGGGCCGGGGAGGAAAUGCCUCGGUUUUGACGGUACCUCCAAAGGAAGCACCGGCUAACUCUGUGCCAGCAGCCGCGGUAAUACAGAGGGUGCGAGCGUUGUUCGGAAUUACUGGGCGUAAAGCGCGCGCAGGCGGCCCUUUAAGUCUACCCGUGAAAUGCCGGAGCUCAACUCCGCGCACGCCGGGGGAUACUGGGGGGCUGGAGACAUGUAGAGGCAAGCGGAAUUCCGGGUGUAGCGGUGGAAUGCGUAGAUAUCCGGAAGAACACCUGAGGCGAAGGCGGCUUGCUGGGCAUGAUCUGACGCUGAGGCGCGAAAGCGUGGGGAGCAAA
RNAcentral lists this ribosomal RNA (424 nucleotides) under uncultured bacterium. RNAcentral describes it as "bacterial SSU rRNA". It matches the Rfam family "Bacterial small subunit ribosomal RNA", at positions 358 to 772 of the family's 1533-position model. The record is from RNAcentral.